This 238-nucleotide long non-coding RNA is filed under the name Oryza brachyantha (malo sina). RNAcentral's name for it is "long non-coding RNA (OBRA_LNC003128)". The record is from RNAcentral. Lineage: Eukaryota; Viridiplantae; Streptophyta; Magnoliopsida; Poales; Poaceae.
CUCCUGGCCGAAGCGUCGACGCCGCGAGCGCAUGCAUGCAGCUGCAUGGCGCAGCACCGAGCUGCAUGGCGCCAGCCACCUCCAGCGCGGGCAGCACCCCUCCUCGUGACCUCCCUCCCCGCCUCCCUUUUGCCUCCCUCCUUGGCCGGCCUCCUCUCACACUGCCCCUCCCUCCCAUGGCUGUGUGAGUGAGACAGAAAAGAAAAGGAGAUAGAGGAGGAAGAAGCUACGGGAGGGA